This 1118-nucleotide long non-coding RNA is filed under the name Piliocolobus tephrosceles (Ugandan red Colobus). Its description in RNAcentral is "lncRNA (ENSPTEG00000011442.1)". The record is from RNAcentral. Lineage: Eukaryota; Metazoa; Chordata; Mammalia; Primates; Cercopithecidae.
AAAGAAAAAGUGAAAGAAAAAGCAGAAGAAAAAAUAGGAGCAUAUGCAGGAGCAUAAACACAAAAAAAAUAGACGAAAUAGACGAAAUAGACGAAAUUGACGAAAUUGACGAAAUUGACGAAAUUGACGAAAUUGACGAAAUAAACGAAAUUGACGAAAUAAACGAAAUUGACGAAAUAAACGAAAUUGACGAAAUAGGUAACCUCGAAACAAACGAAGAUUCACAAAUGUACACAAACGUAAAAAAUAAUUAUAUAGAUAAAAAUACAGCAAAAGAUAAACAUAAAACAUUAGAUAGAAAACUAACAAAACAUAUAAAUGAAUUUACAUUUUUUAAGCACUUCAGUUAUAAUAAUGAGAAGAGUGGCAAGUUUAGUGACACAAUAAGUAAUAGCGACGUGGGAAGUAACCACAUGGACAAUAACAAUAUUGACAGUGAAAAUGAAAUCAACAGUAAUAUUACUCGUAACGUUAAACAUACUACUAAUAAAAAGUAUGUAAGUUCUACAAAAAAAACAAAUUCGAAAUUGCGUUCACAAGAAAAAUCUUUAAAUGAAAAGUGUUCACAUGGAAGUGUUGAUAUGCACUUAAACAGUCGUGACAUGUUAGAUAAAGAUAUACUUAAUAAUAAAAAAGUAUUUAGUAAAACCAAAUCAAAAAGAAAAAGUAAAAAAAUAAAUAAAUAUAAUAAACAAAAAAAAUGUUAUGAUAAUUUUAAUAAUCGUCUAAAUUCAAGCAUAUCAACUAAUAGCAGCUUAGAAGAUAAAAUGGACAAUAAUUUGAAAAAAAUAAAUAACAAUACGAUAAAUAACAAUACGAUAAAUAACAAUACGAUAAAUAACAGUACGAUAAAUAACAGUACGAUAAAUAAUGAUACGAUAGAUGAUCAAUUAAAUUUAAUCAGUCUUAACGAAACAAAAUCAACAACACAAAACAUAAAUAAUAAUAAAAUAAAAAAACAAAUAUUAUCAUACACAAAUAAUAAAGAAAUAAUUGAACCUGUUUUUUCUACUAUUCCUAAAAAUAAUGUAACAAAUUUUUUAACUUUACAUUCAAAUAACACCUAUAAUGUACAUACUGAUGGAUCAACAAAUGCAAGUCCAAUUAAUGCAAGUCCA